RNAcentral lists this ribosomal RNA (468 nucleotides) under Escherichia coli. Its description in RNAcentral is "bacterial SSU rRNA". It matches the Rfam family "Bacterial small subunit ribosomal RNA", at positions 338 to 796 of the family's 1533-position model. Lineage: Bacteria; Pseudomonadati; Pseudomonadota; Gammaproteobacteria; Enterobacterales; Enterobacteriaceae. The record is from RNAcentral.
CCUACGGGUGGCAGCAGUGGGGAAUAUUGCGCAAUGGCCGAAAGGCUGACGCAGCGACGCCGCGUGUGGGAGGAAGCCCUUCGGGGUGUAAACCACUGUCAGGAGGGACGAAAGAGCUCAUGGUGAAUAAUCAUGGGCAGUGACGGUACCUUCAAAGGAAGCACCGGCUAACUCUGUGCCAGCAGCCGCGGUAAUACAGAGGGUGCAAGCGUUGUUCGGAAUUACUGGGCGUAAAGCGCGCGCAGGCGGAUCCUGUAAGUCGGAAGUGAAAUUUCGGGGCUCAACUCCGAAGCUGCUUCUGAUACUGCGGAUCUGGGGACCGGUAGAGGCUGGUGGAAUUGCAGGUGUAGCGGUGGAAUGCGUAGAGAUCUGCAAGAACACCCGUGGCGAAGGCGGCCAGCUGGGCCGGGUCCGACGCUGAGGCGCGAAAGCGUGGGGAGCAAACAGGAUUAGAUACCCCUGUAGUCC